GUGAAUAUAGUUUAAUAAAAACCCUAGCUUGUGAUUUUAGAAAUGAGAGCUAACACCUCUCUAUUCACC
This 69-nucleotide transfer RNA is filed under the name Hyla annectans (Assam treefrog). RNAcentral describes it as "tRNA-His". It matches the Rfam family "tRNA". Rfam says of the family: Transfer RNA (tRNA) molecules are approximately 80 nucleotides in length. Their secondary structure includes four short double-helical elements and three loops (D, anti-codon, and T loops). Further hydrogen bonds mediate the characteristic L-shaped molecular structure. tRNAs have two regions of fundamental functional importance: the anti-codon, which is responsible for specific mRNA codon recognition, and the 3' end, to which the tRNAs corresponding amino acid is attached (by aminoacyl-tRNA synthetases). tRNAs cope with the degeneracy of the genetic code in two manners: having more than one tRNA (with a specific anti-codon) for a particular amino acid; and 'wobble' base-pairing, i.e. permitting non-standard base-pairing at the 3rd anti-codon position. Lineage: Eukaryota; Metazoa; Chordata; Amphibia; Anura; Hylidae. The record is from RNAcentral. RNAcentral also lists the same sequence under 1 other name.